CUGAACAGUCGCAAGGACAAAUCAAUGCCAUUUUAAAUCUAAGCGUCUUGAGUCACUCAUUUCCGCGUCUACGUCAGAUGUCUGACGUCACUUCACUCUGAGAGGCGACUUGACGUGAAAACCUGUUCGAUCGUUGGUUCGAUGAAGCUCGUGUUCCCGGUUCCACCUUAACGCGCCGACCGGGUCCUGUGAGCUCCAGAGCGGAGCUGCAGCCGCCUCGUGCAGCCGCUUCUCCCGGUCCCUUCUCCCGGUCCCUCCUCACCAUGGACUUCACCGAGGCGAGGUCGGAGCUGAAGCAGCUGCUGAGCAGAGUGGUUCCCGCCGAGCUGCCGAAGCUGCUGCACUGGAUCUCACACUCAGACGAGCUGGACGAGCUGCUGCUGGACAACAGGACGGUGACGCUACGCAGCAUCGCAGACGACCUGAGAGCCGGUCUGCCCCUGGACGCCAUGUUGCCCUCGGAGACCGCCGCCCACCACAAGAUGCAGCAGCAGCCGCGGCCGACGGUUCACGUGGACGGUUUCCUGUACAACGACGAGCAGGUGGACUCUCUGUGUGAGGACGGGACCAUGAGCCGGACCUACUGCCUCAGCUGUGGCUCCCACAAGACGGCAGCUCUGGACUUCAUCUCUCACUCCUUCUCGGUGUCGGAGCUUCAGUUUCUGUUCCAAAACGUUCUCCCAGACCUGAGCGGUCGGACGCUGGUGGACGUUGGAUCCAGACUGGGAGCUGUGCUGUACGGGGGUUACGUGUACAGCUCGGCGUCGCAGCUGCUCGGGCUUGAGCUCAGCGACGACUUCGUCAGGCUGCAGAACAACAUGCUGCACAAGUACAGGCUGAACGACCGGGUCCAGGUUCUCCAGGCUGACGUCCGCACGCAGGACAUUCUGCUGCAGAACGCCGACGUUCUGGUCAUGAACAACGUCUUUGAGUACUUCAUGGAGCCCAACGAGCAAGUCAAAGCCUGGAGGUUCGUCAUGCAGAACUUUAAAAAGAGAGGGUCUCUGUUGGUGACUGUUCCCAGUCUUCAGGAGAGUCUGAACGCUCUGCAGCAGGAGGCGCUGCAGCCCGGUUGGGUGGAGGAGCUUCCUGUGGACUAUGACGUCUCUCUGGGCAGAGAUACGGACCCCGACGCCCUCAGACAGAUCCAUCUGUACAGGGUCAUGUGACCUGAGACUUGAUGUGGAUCGCACGAGUCGAGGCUGGUUUCAACUGGUCCCAUCGUGGAACUGGACUGGUCUGGUCUGCACAAUCCUCCAGCGUAACAUCGACGUCUAUGGUUGGAAGAGGUCAUUGGCAGUGGUUUAUGGGAGGAGGAGUUCCUUCACUCUUUAUUAUCAGUCUUGUACCUUUGCCCUCUUUCCAAUUGUUAUUAUUUUGCGUGGUAACGAGUCAUCUCGAGGUUUAUUAAUUCGAUCCAAGGCGUCAUCACCCUGUAGAGUGAUGACGCCGGUUUCCCACUGAUCUGAUUGGUCCGUAGUUGGACCG
Scophthalmus maximus (turbot) is the source of this 1488-nucleotide RNA transcript. RefSeq lists it as uncharacterized. The record is from RefSeq and is a predicted model, not a curated record. The transcript is spliced from 9 exons. Lineage: Eukaryota; Metazoa; Chordata; Actinopteri; Pleuronectiformes; Scophthalmidae.